This 211-nucleotide long non-coding RNA is filed under the name Nicotiana benthamiana. RNAcentral's name for it is "long non-coding RNA (NBEN_LNC038264)". Lineage: Eukaryota; Viridiplantae; Streptophyta; Magnoliopsida; Solanales; Solanaceae. The record is from RNAcentral.
AUAAUGUAGAUAAUCUUCUUAACUAAAAUUGUAGCUAAGUGAUACACAUUUCUACAGUGAUCGGUUAUGGCCUUCAUAAUAAUCUCGAAUCUCACAAAUAUCAUACUUCGUAAUAGGCGCGACUUAAUCUAUCAUCGUGAUUAUGUGCACGUUCGUAUGACAUGAUUAUGAUCCUAAUAAUAAAAUCGAGGUAUGCGUUCGCGCAACUUCG